RNAcentral lists this ribosomal RNA (439 nucleotides) under uncultured bacterium. RNAcentral describes it as "partial 16S ribosomal RNA". It matches the Rfam family "Bacterial small subunit ribosomal RNA", at positions 339 to 795 of the family's 1533-position model. The record is from RNAcentral.
CUACGGGGCGCUGCAGUGGGGAAUAUUGCACAAUGGGGGAAACCCUGAUGCAGCGAUGCCGCGUGGAGGAAGAAGGUUUUCGGAUUGUAAACUCCUGUCGCAUGGGACGAUAAUGACGGUACCAUGUGAGGAAGCACCGGCUAACUACGUGCCAGCAGCCGCGGUAAUACGUAGGGUGCAAGCGUUGUCCGGAAUUACUGGGUGUAAAGGGAGUGCAGGCGGGACUGCAAGUCAGAUGUGAAAACUAUGGGCUCAACCCAUAGACUGCAUUUGAAACUGUAGUUCUUGAGUAAAGUAGAGGUUGGCGGAAUUCCUAGUGUAGCGGUGAAAUGCGUAGAUAUUAGGAGGAACAUCAGUGGCGAAGGCGGCCAACUGGGCUUUUACUGACGCUGAGGCUCGAAAGCGUGGGUAGCAAACAGGAUUAGAUACCCUUGUAGUC